Molecule: ribosomal RNA, 433 nt
Filed under: uncultured bacterium
Lineage: Bacteria
Description: partial 16S ribosomal RNA
Rfam family: Bacterial small subunit ribosomal RNA
Source: RNAcentral
AACGAACGCUGGCGGCAUGCCUAACACAUGCAAGUCGAACGAGACCUUCGGGUCUAGUGGCGCACGGGUGCGUAACGCGUGGGAACCUGCCCUUAGGUUCGGAAUAACUCCCCGAAAGGUGUGCUAAUACCGGAUAAUGUCUUCGGACCAAAGAUUUAUCGCCUUUGGAUGGGCCCGGGUUGGAUUAGCUAGUUGGUAGGGUAAAAGCCUACCAAGGCGACGAUCCAUAGCUGGUCUGAGAGGAUGAUCAUCCACACUGGGACUGAGACACGGCCCAGACUCGUACGGGAGGCAGCAGUGGGGAAUAUUGGACGAUGGGCGAAAGCCUGAUCCAGCAAUGCCGCGUGAGUGAUGAAGGCCUUAGGGUUGUAAAGCUCUUUUACCCGGGAUGAUAAUGACAGUACCGGGAGAAUAAGCUCCGGCUAACUACGUG